RNA transcript from Musa acuminata AAA Group (dessert banana), 692 nucleotides. RefSeq lists it as uncharacterized. The transcript has 5 exons. The record is from RefSeq and is a predicted model, not a curated record. Lineage: Eukaryota; Viridiplantae; Streptophyta; Magnoliopsida; Zingiberales; Musaceae.
ACCCUAAACCCUUGCCGAUGCCAACAGUUAUUCUUCCUACUCUCGAAAUGGCUUGGCGCGGAUCGAUUUCGAGAUCGCUGCUCGCCGCCGCCCGGUCCUCGUCCCCCAGGUCGUCGCCGGCGGUCCCUCGCCUCCGUUCCCAGCCCGCCGCCGCUCCCCGACUCCAACGUCGGCGCAUCUCCUUCUCCCCUCCCCGAUCUUUGGGACAAAUAGGAUGCGCGCAGUCCUUCCUUCCACUUUACAGCGUGGUGGCCGCGCCUCGUCUCACCUCCCACCUGUCGGUCAGCGCGAGAGCGUGCUGCGAGCUCUCUCAGGGGAAAAAUGGAAAAGAUGGUUGAUGCAAGAGACAGAGCGUCAUCCCGGAAGACCAUUGUCUAAGCCAAUAUCUUGUGUUUACUGAGUGCUUCUAGGGUGGCUUUUAUUAAAGGCACUUGAAGGAAAUAGGAUCAAUUGGAAUAUUAGCAAGCGAGGAUUCUUAUUAGGCAUAGUAUGAGAACCGGCUUAUGCACUAACUGGAAAAUCAGGAUGAACUACAAGUGAUUUUUGCUUGUUUCAUUAGAAUAAUUUCAUAAGUAUGCAAGAAUAAGUGUUACUGUUGCUUCUGGUGAAACAUCAGCCAUGAUAAUUAUGUUACGAUUGUGCCACUUGAAUUUUUUUGGUGGUUUAAUUGGUGUCUUUAUUUUAAUUUUUCA